RNAcentral lists this ribosomal RNA (253 nucleotides) under uncultured bacterium. Its description in RNAcentral is "partial 16S ribosomal RNA". It matches the Rfam family "Bacterial small subunit ribosomal RNA", at positions 524 to 776 of the family's 1533-position model. The record is from RNAcentral.
UACGGGGGGGGUAAGCGUUGUUCGGAAUUACUGGGCGUAAAGGGCGCGUAGGCGGCCAACUAAGUCAGACGUGAAAUCCCUCAGCUUAACUGGGGAACUGCGUCUGAUACUGGAUGGCUUGGAUUCGGGAGAGGAAUGCGGAAUUCCAGGUGUAGCGGUGAAAUGCGUAGAUAUCUGGAGGAACACCGGUGGCGAAGGCGGCAUUCUGGACCGAUAUUGACGCUGAGGAGCGAAAGCCAGGGGAGCAAACGGG